AACCCAAUAGCUAGCCCAACCCCCUAAAAUAAACAAACCACCAUUAAUAACCCCACAUGCACCAGACAACUCAAAACAAACCAUUUUCCCCUCUUAGUAUGGGAGACAGAAAAGAGACCACGGCGCGAUAAGAAGUACCGCAAGGGAAAGCUGAAAGAGAAAUGAAACAACCCAGUCGAAGACUAACAAAGCAGAGACUAAGCCUCGUACCUUUUGCAUCAUGAUUUAGCUAGCAAAAUUUAAGCAAAGGAUACUCUAGUCUAAAACCCCGAAACUAAGUGAGCUACUCCAAGACAGCCUAUAAAAAGGGCACACCCUUCUCUGUGGCAAAAGAGUGGGAAGAUCUUCGAGUAGCGGUGACAGACCUACCGAACUUAGUUAUAGCUGGUUGCUUGGAAAAUGGAUAGGAGUUCAGCCUUCUGGAUUCUCCCCUCAAAUUGGAAUUACCCAAGCCCGUUAAUUAAGAAACCAGAAGAGUUAGUCAAAGGGGGUACAGCCCCUUUGAAAAAGGACACAACCUUCCCAGGAGGAUAAAGAUCAUAACAAAUAAGGUUUAUUGUUAAGGUGGGCCUAAGAGCAGCCAUCCCCCCAGAAAGCGUUAAAGCUUAGACAUUCAAAUCAACCUUCAAUUCUGACAACCUAAUCUUAACCCCUAGUUCUACCAAGCUAUCCCAUGCCCCCAUGGGAGCAAUCCUGCUAAUAUGAGUAAUAAGAGAGUCCAGACUCUCUCCCUAGCACAAGUGUACAUCGGAACGAACCCCCACCGAAACUUAACGGUCCCAAUUAAUAGAGGGCCUUGGACAACACAAAACAAAGCCAGAAAAACAUCCAAUAACAAACCGUUAACCCCACACUGGUGUGCCCAAGGGGAAAGGCUAAAAGAGAAAGAAGGAACUCGGCAAACACCUUAAGCCUCGCCUGUUUACCAAAAACAUCGCCUCUUGCAAA
RNAcentral lists this ribosomal RNA (948 nucleotides) under Ophthalmolepis lineolata (Maori wrasse). RNAcentral's name for it is "partial 16S rRNA". The stretch from base 189 to 948 matches the Rfam family "Bacterial large subunit ribosomal RNA", at positions 568 to 1829 of the family's 2925-position model. The record is from RNAcentral. Lineage: Eukaryota; Metazoa; Chordata; Actinopteri; Labriformes; Labridae.